RNAcentral lists this small nuclear RNA (103 nucleotides) under Catagonus wagneri (Chacoan peccary). The record is from RNAcentral. Lineage: Eukaryota; Metazoa; Chordata; Mammalia; Artiodactyla; Tayassuidae.
UUGCUUUGGCAGCACAUAUACUAAAAUGGGAACAAUAUAGAGAAGAUUAGUAUGGCCCCUGUGUAAGGAUGACAUGCUAAUUUAUGAAGCAUCCCAUAGUUUG